This 94-nucleotide non-coding RNA is filed under the name uncultured Companilactobacillus sp. Its description in RNAcentral is "THF riboswitch". It matches the Rfam family "THF (Tetrahydrofolate) riboswitch aptamer". Rfam says of the family: THF riboswitch presents a pseudoknot that joins P1-P2 and the loop of P3 and two THF binding. The record is from RNAcentral. Lineage: Bacteria; Bacillati; Bacillota; Bacilli; Lactobacillales; Lactobacillaceae.
CAGAGUAGAAAAUGAAGCGUCAAGUGUCAAAAGAUGGGAUGUUGCUUUUGGACGAAGGGAACUUUAUCCGCGGUUUCGUUUUCGCAUUCGCUGC